ACUAUUUUGUCAUGCGAUAUGAACUACUAAGUUGAAGAUCAAGGUGGAAUUCGCUGAUAUUAUUCUGGUGAUAUAUUAUAUUCGGAAGGAUAUCCUUAUUUAAACCAGAGGUACUAUGGAAAAUUUGUUAGUGUUUUAUGGGCACAUCGUACGUGAGGGUCCUUCUGGUGUGGAUGUGUCUAGGUGCGGGAUGACUACGGUUGUAGUGAAAGACAUGGUUAAUGUAGAGUAUGCGGCAGUUAGAAGGUGCAUCCGAUCGGUGUUUGGUUCAGCGAUGAAUGGAAAAAAAAUGACCCUGGAGGCUUUCGUGGUUGAGGGAGGAAAUCGUUGGGUUUUGCGACGGGUUACCGGUGAAAGAGCAUGGGCGUCGUACAUGGGUUUUGCAAGCAAUCCCAAUAACUCCAUGUAUGGAC
Hordeum vulgare subsp. vulgare (domesticated barley) is the source of this 413-nucleotide long non-coding RNA. RefSeq lists it as uncharacterized. The record is from RefSeq and is a predicted model, not a curated record. Lineage: Eukaryota; Viridiplantae; Streptophyta; Magnoliopsida; Poales; Poaceae. The transcript has 3 exons.